RNAcentral lists this ribosomal RNA (591 nucleotides) under uncultured Pseudozyma. RNAcentral's name for it is "eukaryotic LSU rRNA". It matches the Rfam family "Eukaryotic large subunit ribosomal RNA", at positions 81 to 655 of the family's 3401-position model. The record is from RNAcentral. Lineage: Eukaryota; Fungi; Basidiomycota; Ustilaginomycetes; Ustilaginales; Ustilaginaceae.
UAGUACGGCGAGUGAGAGGGAAGAGCCCAAGAUUGAAAGCUGGCGUCUUCGGCGUCCGCAUUGUAAUCUCAAGAAGUGUUUUCCGCUUCGGACCAUGCCUAAGUCCCUUGGAAAAGGGCAUCAUAGAGGGUGAUAAUCCCGUACAUGGCAUGGAGCGCCCGUAGCUUUGUGAUACGCUUUCUAAGAGUCGAGUUGUUUGGGAAUGCAGCUCAAAAUGGGUGGUAAAUGCCAUCUAAGGCUAAAUAUUGGGGAGAGACCGAUAGCGAACAAGUACAGUGAUGGAAAGAUGAAAAGAACUUUGAAAAGAGAGUUAAACAGUACGUGAAAUUGCCAAAAGGGAAGGGUAGGAGGUCAGAGAUGCGUCUUGGGAUUCAGCCUUGCUUUUGCCUGGUGUUUUUCCCAAGCUGCAGGCCAACGUCGGUUUUGGGCACUGGAGAAGGGUAGGAGGAACGUGGCACCUCUCGGGGUGUGUUAUAGCCUCCUACUGGAUACAGCGACCGAGACCGAGGAACGCAGCGUACUCGUAAGAGCGGGCCUUUUGGCACCUUUACGCUUAGGGCGUUGGCAUAAUGGCCCUCUACCACCCGUCUU